UUUCCGUAGGUGAACCUGCGGAAGGAUCAUCACUGACAUUGUUUUAUGAUUCUGUGUGAACUGUGAUAUACGGGCGUGUGUUGGUGGGGGCAAGUUAGUAAGGGGCGGUGGUUGGUGGGGCGUGGUGUGCGUGGUGGCACGGGAGCAGUAGCGCCCAUGUCACGUCGCGUGUCGCGUCGCAUCGCACCGGCCCUCGUGCCGUGUGGCUGGCUCUCCGUCAGGGGGACAGCCACGCCUGCCGACAGCGUCUAGAUUUCAAACAACUUUUGUCAGGCUUUGUAACUAACACUUGUAUUUCAAACAUAAUUUGACAACUUUCAACAAUGGAUCUCUUGGCUCUC
RNAcentral lists this unclassified non-coding RNA (341 nucleotides) under soil metagenome. RNAcentral describes it as "partial contains small subunit ribosomal RNA, internal transcribed spacer 1, and 5.8S ribosomal RNA". The record is from RNAcentral.